Molecule: long non-coding RNA, 1395 nt
Organism: Harpia harpyja (harpy eagle)
Lineage: Eukaryota; Metazoa; Chordata; Aves; Accipitriformes; Accipitridae
Exons: 3
Source: RefSeq, a predicted model, not a curated record
AUGGAAUGAACCUUUCUGCAGAAAAAUCUCACCCACUCUGCGUUGAUUAAAGAGGGAACCUAUAUGAAAAGCUUACAGGAAAACAACAAAGGGGAGAUUAGAUUUCUAUGGAUUUUACCGUAAAAAUACUGGAUGUCAUCUGUAUUUUAGUACUAGUCCAGAUUCAUCCUGACUCAGUUGUGAAGUAUUUUGCUGUCAGGAAGCUCUCACAGUGUUUUACUAAAGAUGUUCUCAAAACAGCAGUUCUUCAAGUGAUUUCUAACCAUGCUAUGGUCAUACUAGCGAUCAUCCAAUAACGAGAGAAAAUGCCCUUGCAGGCUGUACCAUGUGCCAGAAGGACAGGGCAGGCCCCCUCUGUGACCAUCCUCUGGGGAGGAUUCAUGGAAGCAGAACAUCUUACCCUGAGGAGAAGCUGGUGAGAUGCCUUUCAGCUCAAUGACAGUAUUCCUCCCCGCAGCACGUUUCACAGCUGAGCAAGGACCUGCUAACAUCUAAUGGGCAUCUAACGCCCGAUGUGGACAAAACCAGCAGCAGAGCGCUUGUACUCAGUCAUAUCCCCUGUAUUGGCUCAGUUCUGAAAACUCACAGUUUGACGUUCUGACGUGGAAACAGAAACCGAACUAAAUCGUGUGAUGCCGGGAGGAAGAGCCACCGAGAUUUGUCUGACUUUUUGUCUGUUUGUGCCGGUUUGUCAGACUGCUGUGUGCUACCUCAGCUUUUCCCCCAGAAAGGGUGAUUUCAUUCCGCUUAUAUAAAUAUCUCCUAACCUGGUUUUAAACUCAGACUUUUUUGCCAGUAUGUGAUUCUUUACAUUUUGCAGAAUACCCACAACUGUGUUAGAGCCCUAAACGCUACAUUUUUGUCCUUGAAGGUUUUGAUUUCCAACACUUGAAGCAGUAAAGCCCCACCCCAUGCAUUUCAGUUUUAUCCCUCCUUUUUUCACUUGCCAAUGCAUACAAAUGAAGACCUAGGUAAACCUUUUCAGGAUGCUAAUGGCAAAUUCUCCAGUUCCCACGACAGUGCUAGCAGGGUGCAAGGCUAUGAGGAGAAAAGGAGGAAAUUAGCCUGUCACUCUGGGAAAGCAAUGCCUACUGAUACAAGGAGCAGUCUAAUCUCAGUAGCCUUUCUAAACAGUUUACAUGAAAAAACAACAAACAGAGGGAAGGAAGGAAGAAAAGGAUUUCUGUUGUAAAUUGACAGGAAUGGCUGUAUUGGGUUUCCGCUGAUGAAAUCUCUCCACAGCAAAGGGUUAGAAGGAAUAAAGGAGGCUUUAUGCCUUGUUAGGGUGAGAGAAAACAAGACAUAAUGAUGAAGCUGAAUAUGUAAGCAAGCUUCUCAAAACUUAUGUGAAUAUUUGGGAUUUACACUUUAUUUUCUGGAUAAACCAUCCACCAG